AGCGGUCUCAUGAGGGGGCGUGCCGGGCUGGCCGCCGGGGGGUAACGGUCACUUAGCCUGCCCGGUCCCGUGCAGUCCGCUGGCGGCCACCGCUGCCUCCCUCGUGCUUGGAGCCGCCAUGGCGGGGGGUCUGGAUUCGCUGGAGAAAUGCCUGGAGCGGCACCUCCCCCACGAGGAGCUCGGCGAAGUGAAGCGGAUCCUCUACGGGAGCCUGAGCAGAAAACUCGCCUUGCCGCCGGCGGCUCUGUCGGCCGCGAGCCAGAGGGCGUUGGAGCUGCAGGGCUGUGGAUUCGGAGCGGCGCCCGAGCAGCUGAGGCAGCCCCGCGUUGUCCGAGUGGGGCUGGUUCAGAAUAAAAUCCCCCUGCCCACGGAUACACCCGUGGCGGAACAGGUGGCUGCACUGCACAGGCGAAUAGAGGAGAUCGUGGAGGUGGCUGCAAUGUGUGGGGUCAAUGUGAUCUGCUUUCAAGAGGCUUGGACUAUGCCCUUUGCAUUCUGUACAAGAGAGAAACUUCCAUGGACUGAAUUUGCUGAGUCAGCAGAAGAUGGUCUGACAACAAGGUUCUGCCAAAAGUUGGCAAAGAAACACAAUAUGGUUGUGGUGUCUCCAAUUCUGGAGAGAGAUGAUGUACAUGGAGGAACUUUGUGGAACACUGCAGUGGUGAUUUCAAACUCUGGAUCUGUCCUUGGGAAGAGCAGGAAAAAUCACAUUCCAAGGAUUGGAGAUUUUAAUGAGUCUACUUACUAUAUGGAGGGCAACACAGGGCACCCUGUGUUCCAGACUCAAUUUGGAAGGAUUGCUGUGAAUAUCUGUUUUGGGCGCCAUCACCCCCUGAACUGGCUCAUGUAUAGUCUAAAUGGAGCAGAGAUUAUCUUUAACCCUUCAGCUACUACUGGAGAGCUCAGCGAGUCACUGUGGCCAAUUGAAGCAAGAAAUGCAGCUAUUGCUAACCACUGCUUUACAUGUGCCAUAAACCGAGUUGGAACGGAAUACUACAUGAAUGCAUUUACAUCUGGAGAUGGUGGAAAAGCCCACCAUGACUUGGGAUAUUUUUAUGGCUCAAGUUAUGUGGCUGCACCAGAUGGCAGUCGGACACCUGGACUGUCUCGCACACAGGAUGGGCUUUUGGUGGCUGAGGUGGAUCUAAACCUUUGCAGGCAAGUUGGUGACAAAUGGAGUUUUAAGUGUGCUGCAGUUUUGUAUUGAUAGUGCAAACCAGCAUUGCUGGAAGUUUUGGAAACUGAGUAGAGGACAACUGGGACUUUUGCCAACCAGAAAGGAGUAGGAAGCAGUUUAAAUUUUUAUCAUUUGAUGGAGAUGCAUAUCCCCUUUCUACUUGUGAGCAGCCAGAGGAGGCUUGACAUUUGGGGGUGAUGGGCAUGACCUUCUUGUUCCCCACCAAGACAACCCUUGACAGCAACCACAUAUCCCCAUAACCUGCUCCAGGAUCUGCCACUGCAUCCAGCAGCAAUGGAUAAGGACAUUAACUAUGACUGGUAGAUACGAGAUGUAUGCAGAGGAACUCAUGAAGGCUGUCCAGCUUAACUUUGCACCCAAUAUUAUUAAAGAGUAACUGUGGCAGUGUCCUUUGGUAGGAGAGCUCUCACACCAAGAUGAUAGCACCUCCUUUAUAAAACAAAAGUGAUCUAUGUAUGUUAGUCUGCAAAACUCUCCACCUUCUAUUAUCUUAUAGUUGGUAUUGCAACUGAAACUUGGCUGCUAGUCAAAGUGAAAAGUGACUGCUAGUCAAAAGUUACUAUACAUUUUUAUAAAGCACUUACUGCAAAGUGAUGAAUAAAUGAUAGAGGGCAGGGUGAGGAAUUCACCUGGUCAGAUUUAGCUUAAAUUCUGAAAUGUGCAUUAUACUGUAUGAGUGUUGGUGAAAAGGUGAUAUAUAUAUACAAAAUCAGUCUGGCCCUGAGGAAAUGCUAGUGCGCUUUUCCUACAUGCUUUGUUGCAGUGAGAUAAAAAUGUCAGCGCUUAAAGGCUUUGUCUGAGACCUUCUGACACAUGUAGUCUCCUUUUCUUUGGACGCUGAAUCAGUCAGUCAUAUGGUUCAGAAGAGUAUCAGGAAUACAAGCAUUGGCUCUUGGUACUUCCCAAAAGGAAGCACUAGAUAAGGAACUGACUAUAUUUCCCCUCACUUCACAUGAUAACUUUACAUUAUCACAAGUAGCUGAACGCUCGUGCUGUCACACAGGUGUAAUUUGUUAAGUCAUGUUUAUGAAAAAGCCAAAAAUGGCUCUAAACAAAAACUGCCAUCAGCUAUUGAAGCUCUUUCUAUUGCUUCACAUUGACGUAGACAUUGUAAGCUUCAGAGUGAUGUUUGGGGUUAGUGUGCCUGCUGGUUGUGUCUAUUUGUGUGUGGGUUGUGUCGUGCUGGGAGAGUUGUGUAGAUUUCUCCAGGCUGGGAAUGAGGAGGGUGGCUGCAGCGAGAGGCUAUGUGUGUUUGGGAUUCUUGUGUGUGGGUUACGUUGUGUUGGGAGAUUUUUGUUGAUUUUUGUGUCUGUGGCAGUUGGGCCAGGUAAUCCCGCAUCUGUGCAGUUUCUUUAGUACAGCCAAAGAAAUUAUUGCAUUCAAAUUAGCUGUAGAAUAAGGUUGGUUGGUUGCGUUACCUCCAAUAUCACAAUGGUCUAGAACUCUUGGCAUAGAGAUGCAUGCCUUACUAUAGCUGUGCACCACACAGGUGUAAUACGUAAGGUCAAAAUGCUGAGAACUUAAAAAUUGGAUGGUAGUAGGCCAUGAAACGCAGUGAUGAUGGAACCUGGUGAUAUUCUAAACAAACAGCUUUCAAGCCAUGCUUAGACCUGCUGCCAUUGCUUCACACUGACACAACAGACAUUUUAGGCUUCAGAGUGCCAUUCCUAGAAUCUUCUUAGAUGGAUGCUGCCACACUACAUAUUUCAGCUUGGGGACAUUGUACCUCUUAGGUUAUUUAUCUUGCCGGGGAGGUAAUGCGCUUAGCAUUGCUGUUCCACCACCUGUCUUCUUAGAGCCGGGGUGCCAAACAUAUGGCCCAUAAUCCUACACAGCCCACCAGAGCAUUUAUAAGGCCUGCAGCGGGACUCGGGCUGUCAGCCCUGGGUGGCAGGACUCCCGCUGUUAGCGGAAAUCUUAUUAAAAUAUGUAGAAUCUGUUUGGCCCACACAAGGUUGUCUUAGAUUUCUGUGGCCUUCUAGUAUAAUAAGGUUGGGCAUCACUGCCUUAGAGAAUUGGUGUAUCUAAAUUGGUGGUUUAAAAAAAUGAACUGCAUGUCCCAUGUACUAGUUUUACAGGGGAAACUACAGAAGGAAAAUGUCUGGCCAAAAACAGAGUGGCUGAAGUUAAGUUCUUAUGUCGGUGCUCAAAUAAGGAUUUAGGAGCCUAAUUUUUGGCAACCAUUUUUAACUCUCUCUGGUGAAGAAAGAUUUAAAAUGAAAUGUGUAUGGUUUGCUUGGCUUAGUGAAGAUGAAAGGGACCUGGGGGCUAUAGAAAAACCUUUGAGUGAGCCAAGGGUCUAAAAGUAUAUAGGGCCUGUUCUACAGUACACGGUUAUUUUGGAAUUAGCCGAGUUACCUCGAAAUAAAUUCUGAUUCUGUCUACACGACCAAACCAGUUUUUUCGAUUUAAAGGGCUCUUUACUCCGAUUUCUGUACUCUACUUCGGCAAGUGGAGUAGCGCUAAGAUGGAAUAAAAAUGAGAAAAAGAUUUGUUUGUCGAACUCCCAAUAAAAAAAUGUAAGGGUAUAAUUUUCUUAAGAAAAUUGGUGGAAGUUCCCUUGUUUGGGACACUUAUGAUAAGUGAUCAGUAAACAGUGUGAGAAAGUAAUCCUACAACGGCAGGGGGUAGCACUGGGUACUUUGUAGACCUUUUCCAAUGCUAAAACCAAAUUGGUCUGUAACACCAGAGUAACUCCCAUUGAAAUCAAAGGCAUUAUUCUGUUUUAUACUGAUAAAUUUUACUUCAGAAUCUAGCCUCUAAUAACCAAUUUGUAUCUUAACCAUCUUAAUGCUCUGCAAUUUAAAAAAUCUGAGUCAAGCAGGAUUAAAUGCUACACAUUCUAUUAGGGCUUUACUGUAAACUCCAUGAAGUUAUUAUGAAUGUUGCUUUCUAGAGAAUUGAUUAGUUUGGCCGUGAAGGACAGAGACAGCUUUGUAGCGAGACACCUUUUUAUAUUACAGCCAAGCCAAAAAGAAUUCUAACAGUGUUCAGUACUUUGUAAUGGAAUGUAUUACUAUUGCAGACUUUCAUAGCACUUCAGGAUUUUGUUGUCUUAUUUUCCUGUAGCCAGUUUUUAAAUACAGGCAACUAAAGCUUCUAAGCAGGGCCCCAAAUAACAUUAAGGAAAAAAAAAAUGAAGGCGGCUGCCUAGGAAGUUUUUUCUGUAGUAUAGGCAAGUAGCUUCCAACCUUCAGUCCGGUGACUGUCCCACCAGAAAUACAGCCAUUGCAUGAUCCACGGGUAUAACAAAUGCUAGUGGAAUUCAUUCAGUAUCACAUGCAGGAACAGACCAUGUGAUGUGAGAGGGGAAAAGGGGGUGGGGGAUCAGUAGAGACAAAGAAAUGUAAUAUUUUUAAGCUUUGUUCGUAACAUGCAUUGAAUCUGUCUGCUCACUUUUAAUUUCCUGUCUCUCCCCGUGUCACCCCCACAUUAAACACUUAAUCCAAGCAGCACAAGAAAGCAGGGAACCCCAGCUCUGUGGCAAAACUAACUGCCUGAAAUGCUUGUAAGCAGCAGGACUGGUUCUCUCUCUCUCCAGGAGGGUAUUUUUGCCUAUCUUCUGUUAUCUCUCUGUAUAGCACCACUGCCAGGUUGAGAUUUGGCCAUAUUUAUUUUUUAUACAAUUUAACUGUAGAGUCUGGGAUUUAAUUGCUUUCCUUCUAUUGUUUUGUAUUAUAAAGCAUUUAAUACAGCCCACCUAGAACCAGAUAGUGGCUCCAAACAGGACGUGACCUACUAGUUGGGAAUCAUUGGUGCAGAUAAGGCUUCUGUGUAUUGAUCCCAUUAAAAGUAUGUAAACACUAGCAAAUGAAACUAUUGCAAGGAUGAUGACAGAAUGUCACGGUUUAUCACCUAGUUUGACCUUGCAGCAAUUUAGCACAUAUACCCACCCCAUACCAUACCACCAUAGUUGAAUCAAUGCUUUUGGGUACUCCUGUAGUACCCAGUAAUGGUGCUAGAGGCUAUUAAGGAACCUCCAAAAGCCCAGCAUUCCAUUGUGAGAUGGAAUUAGAAGGAGCAGCUGAAUUGGUGCAGCAGUUGCAAUUCUUGUGGCUUCUUUCAAACAAUGCAGAGAAAUUGGUGUAGACUGCACCAGUGCAGAGCUGAAGACUUCAACCAAAGAGUUGCACUCAACUAGGAUACCCACUGGUUGUGGGAUGCCUGAGACAAAUGUGUGUGGAUAGCAACGGUUCAUGGAAUGCUUUGAGCUGGGAACGUAGCCAAUUUUGCUUACCUUUUUGUUUGCCCGGUAUAGUCUGAUGUAGUGAUGUGUCUGGGAAAAGUGAAAGAAAUACGACCCUAAAUUGUAACGACAGCGUACCCACAGCUGAAGUAAAUAUUUGUCUCUUAAGAGUUUCAAAAUGGCAGUUUCAGCUAAUUGUAUCAUUUUUAGUUUAAUACGUAUUUCUUUUAAAGAUCUUCACACAUUUUUGCAUAAUACGCUGGUUGACAAAUACAGCUGCUACUGCUACACUAUGCUAUAGGAUUCACUUAAAAACUUUAUUGAGAAUGGCUCAAUUACAGACAAAAUAUAUUUAUGUAUAAAAUUUCUCUGCAUGUAAAAUAUCCCUUUCUUUGCUGUGGAUAAUAUGAAUAAAACAAGGUAUUACAAAGAAA
Molecule: RNA transcript, 5818 nt
Organism: Dermochelys coriacea (leatherback sea turtle)
Lineage: Eukaryota; Metazoa; Chordata; Testudines; Dermochelyidae
Gene: UPB1
Gene name: beta-ureidopropionase 1
Exons: 11
Source: RefSeq, a predicted model, not a curated record